RNAcentral lists this ribosomal RNA (353 nucleotides) under uncultured bacterium. Its description in RNAcentral is "bacterial SSU rRNA". It matches the Rfam family "Bacterial small subunit ribosomal RNA", at positions 8 to 350 of the family's 1533-position model. The record is from RNAcentral.
AGAGUUUGAUCCUGGCUCAGGAUGAACGCUAGCUACAGGCUUAACACAUGCAAGUCGAGGGGCAGCGGGAUUGAAGCUUGCUUCAAUUGCCGGCGACCGGCGCACGGGUGAGUAACGCGUAUCCAACCUUCCGUACACUCAGGGAUAGCCUUUCGAAAGAAAGAUUAAUACCUGAUGGUAUGAUGAAAUUGCAUGAUAGCAUCAUUAAAGAUUUAUCGGUGUACGAUGGGGAUGCGUUCCAUUAGGUAGUAAGGCGGGGUAACGGCCCACCUAGCCUACGAUGGAUAGGGGGUUCUGAGAGGAAGGUCCCCCACAUUGGAACUGAGACACGGUCCAAACUCCUACGGGAGGCA